Molecule: ribosomal RNA, 569 nt
Filed under: Enterobacter hormaechei
Lineage: Bacteria; Pseudomonadati; Pseudomonadota; Gammaproteobacteria; Enterobacterales; Enterobacteriaceae
Description: bacterial SSU rRNA
Rfam family: Bacterial small subunit ribosomal RNA
Source: RNAcentral
UCUGGGCGUAAGCGCACGCAGGCGGUCUGUCAAGUCGGAUGUGAAAUCCCCGGGCUCAACCUGGGAACUGCAUUCGAAACUGGCAGGCUAGAGUCUUGUAGAGGGGGGUAGAAUUCCAGGUGUAGCGGUGAAAUGCGUAGAGAUCUGGAGGAAUACCGGUGGCGAAGGCGGCCCCCUGGACAAAGACUGACGCUCAGGUGCGAAAGCGUGGGGAGCAAACAGGAUUAGAUACCCUGGUAGUCCACGCCGUAAACGAUGUCGACUUGGAGGUUGUGCCCUUGAGGCGUGGCUUCCGGAGCUAACGCGUUAAGUCGACCGCCUGGGGAGUACGGCCGCAAGGUUAAAACUCAAAUGAAUUGACGGGGGCCCGCACAAGCGGUGGAGCAUGUGGUUUAAUUCGAUGCAACGCGAAGAACCUUACCUACUCUUGACAUCCAGAGAACUUUCCAGAGAUGGAUUGGUGCCUUCGGGAACUCUGAGACAGGUGCUGCAUGGCUGUCGUCAGCUCGUGUUGUGAAAUGUUGGGUUAAGUCCCGCAACGAGCGCAACCCUUAUCCUUUGUUGCCAGC